CCCAACUCAAGAUGGCACCUGGAGAGUUUCCAGUACUCUACCAGUCUCGGUUAUGGGAGGGAGAGUCAAGCAGAGGCAUACCCAUUCCAUUCCUAGCUUGAGCAGUGGCUAGCAAGUGGAAGGCAAUCUGCUACAGGU
This 138-nucleotide small nucleolar RNA is filed under the name Ornithorhynchus anatinus (platypus). Lineage: Eukaryota; Metazoa; Chordata; Mammalia; Monotremata; Ornithorhynchidae. The record is from RNAcentral.